This 256-nucleotide ribosomal RNA is filed under the name uncultured bacterium. Its description in RNAcentral is "partial 16S ribosomal RNA". It matches the Rfam family "Bacterial small subunit ribosomal RNA", at positions 524 to 776 of the family's 1533-position model. The record is from RNAcentral.
GACGUAGGUGGCGAACGUUAUCCGGAAUUAUUGGGCGUAAAGGGUGCGUAGAUGGCCUGACAAGUUAACAGUGGUAAAUCGAGGCUCAACCUCGUGGAAACUGAUAAUACUGUCUGGCUCGAGUGCAGAAGAGGUUAACGGAAUUCCAUGUGGAGCGGUAAAAUGCAUAGAUAUAUGGAAGAACACCAAUAACGGCGAAGGCAGUUAACUAUUCUGUUACUGACAUUGAGGCACGAAAGCGUGGGGAGCAAUCCGG